UACAGAGGAGCCAAGCGUUGUCCGGAUUGACUGGGCGUAAAGCGCACGCAGGCGGGGGUGCGCGUGGGGUGUGAAAUCUGGCCGCUUAACGGCCAGGCGCCAUCCCAUACGGCACGCCUGGAGCCUUGCAGAGGUCGGUGGAAUUGCCGGUGUAGUGGUGAAAUGCGUAGAGAUCGGCAGGAACACCCAGGGGGAAACCAGCCGACUGGGCAAGUGCUGACGCUGAGGCGCGAAAGCUAGGGGAGCAAACGGG
RNAcentral lists this ribosomal RNA (253 nucleotides) under uncultured bacterium. Its description in RNAcentral is "partial 16S ribosomal RNA". It matches the Rfam family "Bacterial small subunit ribosomal RNA", at positions 524 to 776 of the family's 1533-position model. The record is from RNAcentral.